GCCCAGUGACUCUUUAAACGGCCGCGGUACCCUAACCGUGCAAAGGUAGCAUAAUCACUUGUCCCCUAAAUAGGGACUAGAAUGAACGGUCAAAUGAGGACUAAACUGUCUCUUACAUUCGACCAAUAAAACUGAUCUCUUAGUCCAAAAGCUGAGAUAAAAUCAUAAGACGAGAAGACCCUGUGGAGCUUCUAAACCAGACUCAUAUCCAUGUCCAUCUGGUUUUUAGUUGGGGCGACUUCGGAGUACAAAAAAACCUCCGAUACAGAGUAAUUCUCCACACCUAGAUUAACACACCAAAAAACCAAACCUGACCCAGUAGUAAUUCAACUAUCUGAUUAAUGAACCAAGUUACCCCAGGGAUAACAGCGCCAUCCUCUUCUAGAGUCCCUAUCGACAAGAGGGUUUACGACCUCGAUGUUGGAUCAGGACACCCAAAUAGUGCAGCCGCUAUUAAUGGUUCGUUUGUUCAACGAUAAAAGUCCUACGUGAUCUGAGUUC
Molecule: ribosomal RNA, 501 nt
Filed under: Australolacerta australis
Lineage: Eukaryota; Metazoa; Chordata; Lepidosauria; Squamata; Lacertidae
Description: partial 16S ribosomal RNA
Rfam family: Bacterial large subunit ribosomal RNA
Source: RNAcentral